RNAcentral lists this long non-coding RNA (423 nucleotides) under Capsella grandiflora. RNAcentral's name for it is "long non-coding RNA (CGRA_LNC001361)". Lineage: Eukaryota; Viridiplantae; Streptophyta; Magnoliopsida; Brassicales; Brassicaceae. The record is from RNAcentral.
GAAAACAAAAAUCGAGCAUCUUCUUCUUCUUCUUUCACGUACGAAACAAAAACACACACUUGACGAAUCCUCUUUAGAACAAUAAAGCUCAAAGCAGAAUCGAAUCAGGUACGAUCUUGAAUCUGAAUCACUCUCAAUUUGGGUUUGGUUAUUACUAAACCAUUGAUUUCUAUCUCCUUUCAAUUUUAUAUCUUUAGCUCCUCAUUAUCUUCUGACCUAAGUCUUAAUCUGGGUUCGAUUUCUUCAAUGCUGUGAUGUAUCAUCUCAUUUAGUGAUUAUGGUUUUUGGGUUUUAUCUUUUAUCGUUUAAUCUUGUAUGGGAUGACUCCGAAUAUGAUAAAGUCAUGACCUUUGAGUAGAUUCUAGCUGAAAUGAUCGAGCUUUAAGGUCUAAUCCUUUAUAUUGAUUCUGAGCAUAAGAAUUG